This 418-nucleotide ribosomal RNA is filed under the name uncultured bacterium. RNAcentral's name for it is "bacterial SSU rRNA". It matches the Rfam family "Bacterial small subunit ribosomal RNA", at positions 355 to 765 of the family's 1533-position model. The record is from RNAcentral.
UGGGGAAUUUUGGACAAUGGGCGCAAGCCUGAUCCAGCCAUGCCGCGUGCAGGAUGAAGGCCUUCGGGUUGUAAACUGCUUUUGUACGGAACGAAAAGGUGCCUUCUAAUAAAGGGCGCUCAUGACGGUACCGUAAGAAUAAGCACCGGCUAACUACGUGCCAGCAGCCGCGGUAAUACGUAGGGUGCGAGCGUUAAUCGGAAUUACUGGGCGUAAAGCGUGCGCAGGCGGUUUUGUAAGACAGAGGUGAAAUCCCCGGGCUCAACCUGGGAACUGCCUUUGUGACUGCAAGGCUGGAGUGCAGCAGAGGGGGAUGGAAUUCCGCGUGUAGCAGUGAAAUGCGUAGAUAUGCGGAGGAACACCGAUGGCGAAGGCAAUCCCCUGGGCCUGCACUGACGCUCAUGCACGAAAGCGUGGG